CCUACGGGUGGCUGCAGUGGGGAAUUUUGGACAAUGGGCGCAAGCCUGAUCCAGCUAUUCCGCGUGUGGGAUGAAGGCCCUCGGGUUGUAAACCACUUUUGUAGAGAACGAAAAGACACCUUUUAAUAAAGGGUGUUGCUGACGGUACUCUAAGAAUAAGCACCGGCUAACUACGUGCCAGCAGCCGCGGUAAUACGUAGGGUGCGAGCGUUAAUCGGAAUUACUGGGCGUAAAGGGUGCGCAGGCGGUUGAGUAAGACAGAUGUGAAUUCCCCGAGGUUAACUCGGGAAUGGCAUAUGUGACUGCUCGACUAGAGUGUGUCAGAGGGAGGUGGAAUUCCACGUGUAGCAGUGAAAGGCGUAGAUAUGUGGAAGAACAUCAGUGGCGAAGGCGACUAUCUGGCACAUAACUGACGCUGAGGAGCGAAAGCGUGGGUAGCAAACAGGAUUAGAUACCCUGGUAGUC
RNAcentral lists this ribosomal RNA (465 nucleotides) under uncultured bacterium. RNAcentral describes it as "partial 16S ribosomal RNA". It matches the Rfam family "Bacterial small subunit ribosomal RNA", at positions 338 to 795 of the family's 1533-position model. The record is from RNAcentral.